UACGUAGGGCGCAAGCGUUGUCCGGAAUUAUUGGGCGUAAAGAGCUCGUAGGCGGUUUGUCGCGUCUGCUGUGAAAACUCGAGGCUCAACCUCGGGCUUGCAGUGGGUACGGGCAGACUAGAGUGCGGUAGGGGUGACUGGAAUUCCCGGUGUAGCGGUGAAAUGCGCAGAUAUCGGGAAGAACACCCGUGGCGAAGGCGGCUCUCUGGGACGGUACUGACGCUGAGGCACGAAGGUCAGGGGAGCAAACGGG
RNAcentral lists this ribosomal RNA (253 nucleotides) under uncultured bacterium. RNAcentral's name for it is "partial 16S ribosomal RNA". It matches the Rfam family "Bacterial small subunit ribosomal RNA", at positions 524 to 776 of the family's 1533-position model. The record is from RNAcentral.